AUGGUACCCAGACGUGCUCAAACGUGCUUUGUCUUUCCAAACAUCCACUGGGAACCCCAAAAGGGCCCAACUUUAAUGAGUUCCAUUAUAGAGGUUUCUAGGAACCACACUAAACCCAAGAAAAGACAGUGGAUGAAAUUAUCCAUUACUUUUCCUGUUAAGGCAAAAAAAAAAAAAAAAAGGAGGGGCUUUUCAGUGAGAAGUUUACUUUCUGGUGGCUCCUUUGAAGCCUUGCUUCCUUCUAGAGCCUCACUGUCUGACGAGGGAGUAGCCAACCCCACUUGGCUGCUAAAACUUGAAAUGUGGCCAGUCCAAAUGGAGCCGUUGUGCAGUGCCCAACACGUGCCAGAAUCCAAAGACUUUACAUGGAAAAAGGAAUAUAACAUAUCUCAUUCAUAACUUCUUAUACUGAUUACAUGUUCCAACAAUAACAUUUUAGGGUCCAACAAUAACAUUUUAGGGGGCUUCCCUGGUGGUCUAGUGGUUAAGAAUCCAUCUACCAAUGCAGGGGACACGUGUUUGAUUCCUGGUCCGGGAAGAUUCCACAUGCUAUGGAAGCAACUAAUCCUGAAGGCCACAAACACAGAGCCCACAAGCUGCAACAAGAGAAGCCACCGUAAUGAGUAGCUCCUGCUCCCCAUAACUAGAGAGUCUGUGCAUAGCAACAAAAUCCUAGUGCAGUCAAAAUAAACAUAUAAAAUAAAUCUUUCUAAUAAAUAAAUAAAUAAAAUAACAUUUUGGAUAGAUUGGGUUAAAAUAUACAUUAUUCAUAUUAAGUUCAUCAUUUUAUUGUUUUAAAUUGCAGUAAAAUUCAUGCAUCAUAAAAUCAACCAUUUUAAUAAAUUAAACAAUUCACUGGCUUUUAGUACAGUCACCGUAUUAUGCAACCAUCACCACUACCUAGUUCUGGAACAUUUCUAUCACCCCAAGUACCCUGAUGAAUAGAUGAAACCUCCUUUAUGUUGGAUUCAGGAUGGCAAGAAGGGGGAGCUCUCACACCCUCUCACACGUUGCUAUCUGCAGACUCCAAACAGGAAGAGAUGUACCUUGCAUCUCCAACAGAAAGAAAGUUGUUACCUUACUACGCCAGGAGGAAGAAGAAGGAAGAUUUUCUCCUUGCCCGGCAACUGCCCAGCCAAUGAGAAGCUGCAACAACUCAGCCAAUGAAAAGCCACUACACUUAGAACUCCCAGCUUCCUCCAAUGAGCUCUUUGUUUAUAACAGCCCAGCUCAACUCUCCUUUCUCGCCUAUAGAUAAAGAAUGGUCCUGUCUUUGUGUCUCUGGACUUGGUUAUAGUUUUGGUUAUAGGUUACAAGCUGUAACAUGCUUGUCCUGAAUUGCAAUUCUUUGCUAUUCCUCGAUAAACCCAUUUGCUGGUUAAAAACAAAACCCAGAAACUGGCUGUUUUAGUUAACAACCAAUUAGCAGUCACUCCCCUCUCUCCCCAGCCCUUGGCCACCACUGACUUGGCCAUUAGUCUCUAUGGAGUUCCCUAGUCUAGACACAGCAGGGACUUCAGUGGCUACUUUAUGCCAGUGGACGCUUGGCUUCCAGGACCUCAUAGAGUGGUACCAGUUGGGGCCUGGCCCAACCCCCACCCCACCCCAACCCGGGCAGCUCAGCCCUGGCGCAAAGUGGAUGCUCAGUAAACCUACAUGCUGGGAGAAGGAAGGAACAGGGAUCCCAGAAAGAGAAGCAACUCUGGGAUCCCCAUUCUGCCCUGCCGUCUGAAUGGCCUGGGCAGCAACUCAGUCGAUAAACAGAGAUGUGUGUGUGUGUGGUAUAAUAAAAUAUAUGUAUGUAUAUCUAUUUUUAUAGAUACCAAAUAUAUCUAUUUGGUCUUUGCCCCAUUCCUGGCACAGAGCCCCUAAAAUCCUUGGAAUUUCCUGAGUGAUAAUAGUGUCUUUUGUUUGUUAAUGGGAACUCCAGGGACUGGGGCUAAAAAGCUUCAGGAGGGGAGCUGGUAGCCAGAAAAAACAGCCAAGUGCCUAGAGAAUGGGAAUUUUCAGUCCCAUCUACUGGGGAAAAAGCUGAAGAUUGAGUUCAGUCACCAGCAACUGACGAUUUAAUCACUUGUGCCUGUGUACUCAAACCUCAAUUUUAAAAAUACCCUAAAUAAUGGGGUUCUGGGGGCUUCUGGGCUGGCAAACACAUCCAUGUGCCGGGAGGGUGGCACACCCCCAGCUCCAAGGGGUUAGAGGUCCCUGUUCUCAGGACCCUUCAGACCCUGUGUCUCACAUCAUCUUCAUCUGCCGGUUCACCUGUCUCCUUAUGAUAAACGGUAAUAGGUAAUAGUAAGGACAGCUCUUUCCUGCAUUCUGCGAGCCCUUCUAGCAAGUGAUCAAACUGAAUGGGGGGCAUUGUGAGACCCCUCAAAUCUCUAGGAGGUGGGACAGAAGUGCAGGUAACCUGGGGACCCCAUUUAUGGCUGGGGUCUGAAGCGGGGACUGUCUUGUGGGCCUGAGCCCUUAACCUGUGGGGGUCUAAUUCUAGUUGUGGAGUCUAAUUAGUGGCACUAGUUAGUGUCAGAACUGAAUUGCUGGGACUUCCUGGUGGUAAAGGAUCCUCCUGCCAACACAGGGGACGGAGGUUGGAUCCCUGGUCCAGGAAGAUCUCAAUAGGCUGCUGGAGCAACUAAGCCUGUACGCCACAACUACUGAGCCUGCACCCUGCAAGUACUGAAGCCCACGCACCUAGAGCCCAUGCUCCACAACCAGAGAAGCCAGCACAAAGAGAAGCCUGUGCCCUGCAACUAGAGGGUGGCCCCGAUCACUGAAACUAGAGAAAGCCUGCGUGCCCCAACGAAGACACUGUGCAGGCAAAUAAAUAAAUAUGAAAAAAAAAAAAAGAAUUGAAUUGCAGGACAUUCAGUUGAAAUGGGAGAACCAGUGUGUUUGAGGGGUUCCUCUGGGCUUUGUUGCAUGGAUGGGCUCACAGCAAGAUAACUUUGUUGCUGGUAGUAAACAUGGGUAAUGCCUGUGCUUCCCGAGAGAUGGGGUAUUUCUGGGGAGGCCCCAAGGCUCUUGUGAGGAUGGGUGAGAGGAUGUGGGCUGAGAGCCGGCCACCACCCUGGGCUCAGAGGAAGGAGUUCUAAGGUGUUAGCAGGUGAAAGCCAAUGCUCCAAGGGCUCUGCUCACCACAUGAAUGACAGGGCUUUGCUCUGUGGGUGCGAGGCUGCCAACACAGCCUCCAUCAGGCACCAGGCCAGUCACAGAAACAGGAGAGGUGAGCAGACUGUACCUAUAAACAUGGGGCAUUCUUAGCUUUUUACUCUCCUAUUUUUGAAGGUGAUUUAGGCAGAGGGACAGGUCUCAUCUAUAAGAAAAUCAAAACAAGGUGAAAAGACAACCCUCGGAAUGGGAGAAAAUAACAGCAAAUGAAGCAACUGACAAAGGAUUAAUUUCCAAAACACACAAGCAGCUCAUACAAGUCAAUACCAGAAAAACAAACAACCCAAUCAAAAAGUGGGGGAAAGACCUAAACAGACAUUUCUCCAAAGAAGACAUACAGAUGGCUAACAAACACAUGAAAAGAUGCUCAACAUCGCUCAUUAUUAGAAAAAUGCGAAUCAAAACCACAAUGAAAUAUCCCCUUACACCAGUCAGAAUGGCCGUCAUCAAAAAGUCUACAAACAGUAAAUGUUGGAGAGGGUGUGGAGAAAACGGAACCCUCUUGCACUGUUGGUGGGAAUGUAAAUUGAUACAGCCACUAUGGAAGAUGGUAUGGAGAUUCCUUAAAAAUCUAAGAAUAAAACCACCAUACGACCCAACAACUCCACUCCUAGGCACAUAAGAGGAAACCAAAAUUGAAAAAGAUACAUGUACCCCAGUGUUCAUUGCAGCACUAUUUACACUAACUAGAACAUGGAAGCAGCCUAGAUGUCCAUCAACAGAUGAAUGGAUAAAGAAGAUGUGCCACAUAUAUGAAUGUGAAAGUGAAAGUUACUCAGUUGUGUCCAACUCUCUAGCUGGUAAAGAAUCUGCCUACAAUGUGGGAGACCUGGGUUUGAUCCCUGGGUUGAGAAGAUCCCCUGGAGAAAGGAACGGCUAUCUGUUCCUGUAUUCUGGCCUGGAGAAUUCCA
This 4082-nucleotide long non-coding RNA is filed under the name Ovis aries (sheep). RNAcentral describes it as "lncRNA (ENSOARG00000025878.1)". Lineage: Eukaryota; Metazoa; Chordata; Mammalia; Artiodactyla; Bovidae. The record is from RNAcentral.